CAGUAAACUCGUUUCAACUCUUACGUUUUAAUAAUAUAUUUUUGUGUGAUUUUGUUUGCAUAGUUAUAAUUAAUAUGGCAUUUUCUUUGAAAAAAUGUUUGGUAAAGGAAAAGGUAAAACCGGUGAAAGUAGUGGCCAUAAUACUACCCUUCCCCCGGCUCCCUGACCUAGAAAAGAUAAGCAAGUUGAAAGUAGCCGCCAACCUAGACGUUCUCCUCCUCCUCCC
RNAcentral lists this long non-coding RNA (226 nucleotides) under Nicotiana benthamiana. Its description in RNAcentral is "long non-coding RNA (NBEN_LNC003754)". Lineage: Eukaryota; Viridiplantae; Streptophyta; Magnoliopsida; Solanales; Solanaceae. The record is from RNAcentral.